This 69-nucleotide transfer RNA is filed under the name Heterocephalus glaber (naked mole-rat). It matches the Rfam family "tRNA". From Rfam's summary of the family: Transfer RNA (tRNA) molecules are approximately 80 nucleotides in length. Lineage: Eukaryota; Metazoa; Chordata; Mammalia; Rodentia; Bathyergidae. The record is from Rfam by way of RNAcentral.
GGAGAUAUAGUUCAGUGGUAGAAUAUGUGUUUAACACACUCAAGGACCUGGGUUCAAUUCUCAAUACCA